RNAcentral lists this long non-coding RNA (271 nucleotides) under Zalophus californianus (California sea lion). RNAcentral's name for it is "lncRNA (ENSZCAG00015010371.1)". The record is from RNAcentral. Lineage: Eukaryota; Metazoa; Chordata; Mammalia; Carnivora; Otariidae.
CCGGUGCCCGGGGCGUAGGCGCCGGGCAGGGCUGCCUCCGCACUGGUUGCUCCGGCUCCAGCUGGGAGAGGAUUUUCUUCGACGUAACUGCCAGAUUAAGCUACCAUUUAGUCUUCUUCUGUUCAAAACCAAGACAGGAAAGCGUGGAGGACUGAGUGCUGUGCUCAGCUCUUCUCCAGCCAUCAUGACAUACUCCUCAUAACCAUCCUAUGGGACUGGGAGACAAGACUUGAAACCAAAGAAUCAACUAUAAAGCCCAGCAUUACUGAAU